AGGGCCUCAGCUACUACAAUCAAACUACAGAUGCUUGUGCCAUCUAGUGGACCUUCUCUGGGAACAUGCUAACCGCCUUCUUCCCCAAGCACCAGAGGGAGCUACAACUUUCUCACUUAACCCUGGAGAUCAAGUCGACCUGAAGCAAUCUUACCCACAGAGCCUCAAGCGACUCUGGACUGGACCUCACCUGGUGAUCCUAACCACCCCGCAGCCGCAAAGUUCCACGGCAUCCCCAACUGGAUCCAUCUAUCACAGCUAAAGAGAGUCAAGCCACCUCCAUCCAACCCUACCUCGUCCUGGGCUAAGGUGCGUGGAGCCCAUCCCCCUCGCCUUCUCUGUAAUAGAUGCUGCCAGCGACUGCCCUGAAGCCAGCUCAAUACAGGGAUGAUAUGAAAGAAGUCUCUGCUUCACUCAGGACCAAGUCGUAACAGCAUGCUACACUGGCUGUUGGGGGGUACUCACUACCAAUCUCCCCAUCCUGUCGGUACCAUUACAUUCACCCAACCAAAUCCUAUGGCAUCCAACCACCCCAGUUCAAAUCUCAGGGGGUACUCACAAUUUUUUCCUUCACAGACUCAUGGGACCAAAAGUGGGUAGAUGGGAUGGUCGGGGUGGCGACCCACUCCACUAUGGACUCUGGCUAUGGGGGCCUAACAGAAAUAUUUAGAUCCACUCAAAAUGCCCCUAAGACCACCCCAAACACCACAUCAAACACGCUCAUGGCAAGCUCCUGGAAGACCUGUGUGGUCUAACCUUUUCCAUCACCCCCAGAUGUCCAUCCUUAAUUCUUCUCUCUCCUUCCUCAAUCAACUCAGUCUUACCAUUCACACUGCCUGCUUCCUGUGCGCUUCCCUUGAGCACCCCCUCAUUACUGCAGUCCCCUGUUCAAUGUCACCUCUGCUUCAGACACUGUCUGCGUCUGGUGUCCUCUCCAAGCUCCCUAUCCCACUGUCUCUUCUGAGCUGCCUUGAUGGCCUGCAUAAGGACAUCUCUCAGUGCUGGUUGGGAGCUUUCAGGAAUAACUCUACUGUGACAAACCACACCUUACCUAAGGGAACUUAUUUCUGGUGUGGCUCCAUGCUGUAUACCUGCAUCUUUCUGAGACUGCACACCGGCCCUUGCACCCCAGUCACUCUGGUACCCAGCCUCACCACGUACACGGAGGGAGAGCUGGAAGUCUUCUUCCUAGGCGGGCUCAGCAUUACAAAAGAGCUGUCCACUUGCCUGUGAUACAGGAAUAAGUCUGGAAGCCUCCACAGCUGCCACAGGACUGGCUGCAGGAGGCCUGUGCUAUAGCCUCAUCUCCUACGAAAGGCUUUCUACAGAACUGAGCGUUGCAGUCCGGGGAUCCACCGAGGCCCUGAGACUGCUGCAGGAGCAACUUACUUCUGCGGCCUCAGCUGUGCUACAGAACUGCUGAGCCCUACGUUUCUUGACAGCGGACAAAGGAGGGACCUGCCUUUUCUGAAUGAAGAAUGCUGUUAAUAUGUUAACCAAUCAGGCAAGGUAGAGGUAGAAAUUAAAAAACUGAAAAAUCUGGCUGGCCAGUUUCAGGUAUAAACGCCAAUUCCCUGUGAGUCAUGGAACAUCUUUGGGGUGGUCUGGCCCUGGCUUUUUGCCAAUCUUGGGGCCUAUAUCUGGACUAUUCUUGCUACUUGCCCUGGCCCCCUUACCUUCUGAGAUGCAUCCAAAAUCAGGUGGACCAGUUCACCCACCUAAGAUUCAACCAACUUUUAUUGACCUGUCCAUUCUUUAUCUCCUACAGGCCUUUAGACCCUGAGGAACUGUGUACUCAUCACCUGCCUUGGAGGGACACCCAUUGACCGCAUUAUCCAGCCUCUCCUAUAAGAGCUCAUCGCCCCCUACAGUCAGCAUGAAGAUACUACAGAAGAAAAAACCAUGGUCCUUUGUCAUUAACAAAAGGCUGGAAUGUUAGGUCAGGAUGGGCUCGCCAAAUGGAGUCACCAAAGACAGCAGGAUGGUGACAGACACAAGGAAGUGGGUCGUCCACAUUCCCCAAGAAACCGCCCAGUCGUGUUCCUUUCCUUGUCUAACAAUGUCCCUUCCCCAGGUCAUGAUUUCCUGUAAGUCACCUGGUCACUGUUCUGGUGUCACACCUUAGAUCUCCUCUAAAAAAGCCUUUUUUUUUAUUCAAGUUUUCAGUUCCUUGCCUUCCCCCCACUGAAGAGCCCCAUAAAGCGCCUUAUCUGGAGUCUCAGGUUGGCUGUGCUCCGCU
Molecule: long non-coding RNA, 2239 nt
Organism: Jaculus jaculus (lesser Egyptian jerboa)
Lineage: Eukaryota; Metazoa; Chordata; Mammalia; Rodentia; Dipodidae
Exons: 3
Source: RefSeq, a predicted model, not a curated record